UUCCUACGGGGGGCAGCAGUGGGGAAUAUUGGGCAAUGGGCGCAAGCCUGACCCAGCAACGCCGCGUGAAGGAAGAAGGCUUUCGGGUUGUAAACUUCUUUUCUCAGGGACGAAGCAAGUGACGGUACCUGAGGAAUAAGCCACGGCUAACUACGUGCCAGCAGCCGCGGUAAUACGUAGGGAGCGAGCGUUGUCCGGAUUUACUGGGUGUAAAGGGUGCGCAGGCGGCUCUGCAAGUCAGGCGUGAAAGCUAGGGGCUCAACCCCUAAACUGCGCUUGAAACUGUGGAGCUUGAGUGAAGUAGA
RNAcentral lists this ribosomal RNA (305 nucleotides) under uncultured bacterium. RNAcentral's name for it is "bacterial SSU rRNA". It matches the Rfam family "Bacterial small subunit ribosomal RNA", at positions 336 to 655 of the family's 1533-position model. The record is from RNAcentral.